UUGGAGGGCAAGUCUGGUGCCAGCAGCCGCGGUAAUUCCAGCUCCAAUAGCGUAUAUUAAAGUUGUUGCAGUUAAAAAGCUCGUAGUUGAAUUUCGGGGUCAGCAGGUUGGUCGUGCCACUGGUAUGCACUGGCUUCGCUGAUUCCUCCUUCUUGAAGAACUGUAAUGUCAUUAAUUUGGUGUUGCAGGGAAACAGGACUGUUACUUUGAAAAAAUUAGAGUGUUUAAAGCAGGCUAACGCUUGAAUACAUUAGCAUGGAAUAAUGAAAUAGGACGUUUGAUCCUAUUUUGUUGGUUUCUAGGAUUGACGUAAUGAUUAAUAGGGAUAGUUGGGGGCAUUAGUAUUCAAUUGUCAGAGGUGAAAUUCUUGGAUUUAUUGAAGACUAACUACUGCGAAAGCAUUUGCCAAGGAUGUUUUCAUUAAUCAAGAACGAAAGUUAGGGGAUCGAAGACGAUCAGAUACCGUCGUAGUCUUAACCAUAAACUAUGCCGACUAGGGAUCGGAUGAUGUUAAUUUUUUAAUGACUCAUUCGGCGCCUUACGGGAAAC
This 549-nucleotide ribosomal RNA is filed under the name uncultured Glomeromycotina. RNAcentral describes it as "SSU rRNA". It matches the Rfam family "Eukaryotic small subunit ribosomal RNA", at positions 548 to 1098 of the family's 1831-position model. Lineage: Eukaryota; Fungi; Glomeromycota. The record is from RNAcentral.